GGGUUAGUAGGUUGGUCAUGCCUCUGGUAUGUACUGGUCUCACUGAUUCCUCCUUUCUGACGAAUCUUAAUGCCAUUAAUUUGAUGUUAUGGGGAAUCAGGACUGUUACUUUGAAAAAAUUAGAGUGUUUAAAGCAGGCUCACGCUUGAAUACAUUAGCAUGGAAUAAUGAAAUAGGACGUUUGAUUCUAUUUUGUUGGUUUCUAGGAUCGACGUA
RNAcentral lists this ribosomal RNA (216 nucleotides) under Campeiostachys nutans. Its description in RNAcentral is "Elymus nutans partial small subunit ribosomal RNA". The stretch from base 40 to 216 matches the Rfam family "Eukaryotic small subunit ribosomal RNA", at positions 686 to 864 of the family's 1831-position model. Lineage: Eukaryota; Viridiplantae; Streptophyta; Magnoliopsida; Poales; Poaceae. The record is from RNAcentral.